UACAGAGGGGACAAGCGUUGUUCGGAAUUACUGGGCGGAAAGGGCGCGUAGGCGGCCUUCUAAGUCGAACGUGAAAUCCCUGGGCUCAACCCAGGAACUGCGUCCGAUACUGGGAGGCUUGAAUCCGGGAGAGGGAUGCGGAAUUCCAGGUGUAGCGGUGAAAUGCGUAGAUAUCUGGAGGAACACCGGUGGCGAAGGCGGCAUCCUGGACCGGUAUUGACGCUGAGGCGCGAAAGCCAGGGGAGCAAACGGG
This 253-nucleotide ribosomal RNA is filed under the name uncultured bacterium. Its description in RNAcentral is "partial 16S ribosomal RNA". It matches the Rfam family "Bacterial small subunit ribosomal RNA", at positions 524 to 776 of the family's 1533-position model. The record is from RNAcentral.